This 510-nucleotide ribosomal RNA is filed under the name Vibrio campbellii. RNAcentral describes it as "bacterial SSU rRNA". It matches the Rfam family "Bacterial small subunit ribosomal RNA", at positions 1 to 495 of the family's 1533-position model. Lineage: Bacteria; Pseudomonadati; Pseudomonadota; Gammaproteobacteria; Vibrionales; Vibrionaceae. The record is from RNAcentral.
UUUUAGAGUUUGAUUCCUGGCUCAGAUUGAACGCUGGCGGCAGGCCUAACACAUGCAAGUCGAGCGGAAACGAGUUAUCUGAACCUUCGGGGAACGAUAACGGCGUCGAGCGGCGGACGGGUGAGUAAUGCCUAGGAAAUUGCCCUGAUGUGGGGGAUAACCAUUGGAAACGAUGGCUAAUACCGCAUGAUGCCUACGGGCCAAAGAGGGGGACCUUCGGGCCUCUCGCGUCAGGAUAUGCCUAGGUGGGAUUAGCUAGUUGGUGAGGUAAGGGCUCACCAAGGCGACGAUCCCUAGCUGGUCUGAGAGGAUGAUCAGCCACACUGGAACUGAGACACGGUCCAGACUCCUACGGGAGGCAGCAGUGGGGAAUAUUGCACAAUGGGCGCAAGCCUGAUGCAGCCAUGCCGCGUGUAUGAAGAAGGCCUUCGGGUUGUAAAGUACUUUCAGUCGUGAGGAAGGCGGCGUCGUUAAUAGCGGCGUCGUUGACGUAGCGACAGAAGAGCACCG